GACAGAGGGGGCAAGCGUUGCUCGGAAUUACUGGGCGUAAAGGGCGCGUAGGCGGGAUGGCAAGUCGGUCGUGAAAUCCUUCGGCUCAACCGAAGAACGUCGAUCGAUACUGCUGUUCUAGAGGAUUGCAGAGGAGACUGGAAUUCCCGGUGUAGCGGUGAAAUGUGUAGAGAUCGGGAGGAACACCGGUGGCGAAGGCGGGUCUCUGGGCAUUAACUGACGCUGAGGAGCGAAAGCAUGGGGAGCGAACAGG
This 253-nucleotide ribosomal RNA is filed under the name uncultured bacterium. RNAcentral's name for it is "partial 16S ribosomal RNA". It matches the Rfam family "Bacterial small subunit ribosomal RNA", at positions 524 to 776 of the family's 1533-position model. The record is from RNAcentral.